Molecule: ribosomal RNA, 120 nt
Filed under: Helianthus annuus (common sunflower)
Lineage: Eukaryota; Viridiplantae; Streptophyta; Magnoliopsida; Asterales; Asteraceae
Source: RNAcentral
GGUUGCGAUCAUACCAGCACUAAUGCACCGGAUCCCAUCAGAACUCCGCAGUUAAGCGUGCUUGGGCGAGAAUAGUACUAGGAUGGGUGACCCCCUGGGAAGUCCUCGUGUUGCAACCCC